AGAGGCUAAAUUAAAGCUGAGUUAGAGAGGGCUUCACCAGCAAACCAAAACAAAGAAAGAUUUCUCAAAGAGAUUUCUCAAACGGAUGCAAUCAAACUGAUGACAAGUCCCCACAAAGAGAACCCAAAAUACAGGCAUUAAGAUUGGACUCAGACAAAGGACACCUGCACGGAGAACCUGAGGGCAAGUCCUGCGGUCAAGGUUGAGAGAGAGGAAGACUCUGAAAUCAGAAUGCCUGAAUUCAUCGGAUCCAGGCUCCAACACCCUGCCUGCCUCAGUGUUCUCAAAGAAUGCAAAUGAGAAUAGUAUUUACCUGGAGACCUACUAUGAGGGUUACAUGAGAUCACGGAGAUAAAGCAUUUCACCGAAUGUCUGUCUUACAGGAAGUGCUGAAGCAUUCAGAAUGUAACAAAAAUGAAAAUACCAAAUUUCAACACCUAAGGGAGGCAGUUAAAAAUAAACAGAAAAAUCUUAUAGUGUUUUUCUUUAAAUAAUAUAUUUUAUUUAUCCCAGGGGUUCUCAGCCAGGGGAGAGUUUUAAAUGCCUUCAUUGUUCAAGGACUGGAAUGCAUAAACUAAUUGCAGCAGAGUCUGUGGGUUCCCUGCCCAGAUCCUCAGGGACCCUCUAUCAGCUGUGGCAUGUGCUCCUGCUAAUGACCUACCCCUGCACGGGUCUGCAGUGGGCUCCCCUUAGAUGAUUUCCCCACCCAUGGAUGCCUGAAGUUAACCAAUCAACAGCCAAUUCCAUUGAAUUGGUGUGCUUCUAUUCUACUCAAAAAGACUUCAAAAACCACAAGAAAGGAAAACAAGAAAAUAUACACAUAUUUGCUCAUUUGUGAAAGAAUAAACCAGAAACUAAUGUGACUGGUGACUUGAGUAAAAACAGGGUGGAAAAAUGGGAGAAUGGAAAUAGGAUACAAUCGCAAGUGGGGUGCCUGACUUAAGCUUUGAUAUUCAAGGCAUCCGUUUCAAAGAGGCAACCACUUCAAAGAGGGCUGUCUGGAAUAAGCACGAUGCCAGCCACAGGACUAGAUCAAGAGCCAGGUCUCCUCCCCACCUGCUCAGCCCCUUUCCUUUAGCGAUAUUGGUAGAUUUCCAUAGCUGGCCAUUUGGGCUGCUUCUUUUUUCUCUUCGCACACUUCAUAUUCCUGCUCCUCUUUUAAAUUCACCAAUAAAGAGUGAACCCUUGAAACUCUAACCCCCACCCUCAACUCUAAUAAAAGCAGAACCCCAGCUCCA
Molecule: long non-coding RNA, 1238 nt
Organism: Felis catus (domestic cat)
Lineage: Eukaryota; Metazoa; Chordata; Mammalia; Carnivora; Felidae
Exons: 3
Source: RefSeq, a predicted model, not a curated record